Molecule: ribosomal RNA, 373 nt
Filed under: uncultured bacterium
Lineage: Bacteria
Description: bacterial SSU rRNA
Rfam family: Bacterial small subunit ribosomal RNA
Source: RNAcentral
AGCGAACGCUGGCGGCAGGCCUAACACAUGCAAGUCGAGCGCCCAGCAAUGGGAGCGGCAGACGGGAGAGUAACACGUGGGAACGUGCCUUUUGGUUCGGAAUAACUCAGGGAAACCUGAGCUAAUACCGGAUAAGCCCUUACGGGGAAAGAUUUAUUGCCAAAAGAGCGGCCCGCGUCCGAUUAGCUAGUUGGUGAGGUAAUGGCUCACCAAGGCGACGAUCGGUAGCUGGUCUGAGAGGAUGACCAGCCUCAUUGGGACUGAGACACGGCCCAAAACUCCUACGGGAGGCAGCAGUGGGGAAUAUUGGACAAUGGGCGCAAGCCUGAUCCAGCCAUGCCGCGUGAGUGAUGAAGGCCUUAGGGUUGUAAAG